CACGUAGGGCGCAAGCGUUGUCCGGAAUUAUUGGGCGUAAAGAGCUCGUAGGCGGUCUGUUACGUCUGCUGUGAAAACCCAGGGCUUAACCCUGGGCUUGCAGUGGAUACGGGCAGACUAGAGGCAGGUAGGGGAGAAUGGAAUUCCCGGUGUAGCGGUGAAAUGCGCAGAUAUCGGGAGGAACACCGGUGGCGAAGGCGGGUCUCUGGGCCGUAACUGACGCUGAGGAGCGAAAGCGUGGGGAGCGAACAGG
This 253-nucleotide ribosomal RNA is filed under the name uncultured bacterium. Its description in RNAcentral is "partial 16S ribosomal RNA". It matches the Rfam family "Bacterial small subunit ribosomal RNA", at positions 524 to 776 of the family's 1533-position model. The record is from RNAcentral.